Cygnus atratus (black swan) is the source of this 1405-nucleotide long non-coding RNA. RefSeq lists it as uncharacterized. The record is from RefSeq and is a predicted model, not a curated record. The transcript has 3 exons. Lineage: Eukaryota; Metazoa; Chordata; Aves; Anseriformes; Anatidae.
UCCAAUAUUUCAUGUUUUUAAAAAUGUUUUUCAGAAACAUUUGAGUAUGAUCGUGUACCUCUGCAUUUGCACUGUAUAGUGUAAUCCCUUUGAUUCAGACUGUCACAGGAGCUGCUGAAUCUCCCCCUCCCCAGAAAAGGGGGGUGAUGAGGGGUUGUUUCAGAGGGUAGCAUAGACUAUGGGUGUGGGAACUGUUUCAGAUUUCGAUUAAACUUGCUUCCAUUCUGCAUUACAGGCCUCUGCUUUUCUGACCUAUACCAUAAAGCAUAUGAAUGGAAAUUAGUGGAAAGCUUUUCCAGAAUGGUUUUUGUAAUUUAGCUAAUGGAAAAAAUGCUUCACGUAUUGGCAGGAUUGUGGUGUUUAGAAUGCUUGCGCUGCCUCUGCUGGCUUUUUAAAGUUACACUAAUCUGGAAAAGAGAGCACUGGCUGGGAAUGAAGAGAUCUUCACUCCAGUAUUCCCAUUGUCCUGCUGCAUGAGAGGGCAGUAACUGAGAUUUGUGUGGAAGAUUGAUGGAAUUAGCAUGAAGAGAAGCUCUUAGAGGUAGUGACUGCUGCUUCUGUGUAUUGACUAAGAGUAACUACCCCUCCUAAUGGUUGAUGGCAUCCACAGGUCAAUUAGGAAGUAAAUGAAUUGGGACUGGAGAACUGGCUUUGCCUUCUCAAGGCUAUAACCCUCAACAAGACUGUCACUUUAUUUUUUUUUUAACCACCUAUUAAUUGUGAUGUUGUUUGUGAACAUGCUCAGAGAAGUCCCUGCCACAGCACUUGGACAAAACUAAACCCUCUUGCAACACUGGCUGAAAUUUGUUUUUUGUGUUAUUCCAGGGAUGUCUUGCUAAAAUCAGCUGAGUUCUUUCUAAAUAACUUGUAUAUGGGAAAAAUCAGAAUUGUUAGUCACCAGUACUGUGUGUGUGCAUAAUAUAUACAAUAUUGUGUAUGUACAGAUAAUAUAUACAGUAUAAUAUGACUAACAAUUCAUAUACAGGCACAUACUGGAGUUACAGUUCUCUCAUUUUCUUUUCUUCCUUAGGUAAGUUCCUCUUUGUUAGGGGAAGGGGGGCAUGAAAUACGGGGAAAAAUUUAGUAAUAUCAUUAUUUACAAGCAUGUCCCUGACAGAGUGACUGAAAUUAUUUGCCAGUUCAGGCAAAUUUGAGGGUUUUUCAUGGGAUUUCUCAUUUCCCUGUAGCAUAUAAAGGCUGUGUGCACUUAUGAGGGCAGUGCUUGCUGCCUUAAGUACUGUAGAUGGCUAGUUAAAAGCCAGCUACUUUACAUCAGGGCUAAGCAAACAGCAAAAGUUUUACUUGCAUAUUGCUUGUAGAGUGGAAUAGCUCAGCAAUCUUUCCCUGGUGUUGUAUUGGUGUAACUGACACGUAUCAUGUGAUUAAGUGGGUAGUUUUGAUCAGA